GUUGAGCGACCUGCAGGUUUGGGGUCCUCUCUCCGACCUGUGAAACCUGCUUCGCGACCAAAUCGUCCCAGUCUUUUUGCUUCUUCCAGUCUCACAACUGGUGGAGACUCAGAUGCCAACUUGAGUGAAGAAGAGAAACAGAAACUGGAGAAGUUGCAGCAGAUAAGAGUGAAAUUUUUGAGGCUUGUUCACAGGCUGGAUCAUUCUCCAGAGGAGUCAAUAGCUGCACAGGUUCUAUAUCGUUUGGCCCUUGUUGCAGGGAGGCAAACCAAUCAGCUGUUUAGCCUUGAAGCUGCAAAGAGGACAGCUUUGCAGCUUGAAGCAGAGGGGAAGGAUGAUUUGGACUUUUCCUUGAACAUACUUGUCCUUGGGAAA
This 375-nucleotide unclassified non-coding RNA is filed under the name Hevea brasiliensis (rubber tree). Lineage: Eukaryota; Viridiplantae; Streptophyta; Magnoliopsida; Malpighiales; Euphorbiaceae. The record is from RNAcentral.